Paramacrobiotus metropolitanus is the source of this 1263-nucleotide long non-coding RNA. RefSeq lists it as uncharacterized. The record is from RefSeq and is a predicted model, not a curated record. The transcript has 3 exons. NCBI's taxonomy places the organism in Eukaryota, Metazoa, Tardigrada, Eutardigrada, Parachela, Macrobiotidae.
UUUGCUGUAUUUUAGCAAAAAGCAGUAUUAAACAGUCAGUAUUCUUGUCGAACCUGUCAAUCUUUUAAAAGUUACCGUGCGAUUACAUAAAUCACUACUCGUACUCAGAGAAAGCUAAUUUUAUGUCAUAAAAAUGGCACCCUACAAGCUGUCCGUCUUUUGUUGCUGUAUUGUGUAUUGGUUUAUCCACUUGCAGCUGGCUGAUUGUGCGGAAUUACCAUCAGACUGGAGAAGCAGAAUUCAUGCGUCCACGAACCAAUCUGAAGAAUCGCUAACAACGGGCGAUAUUCUCAUUUGGGGUGGUCAGAAACCGUACCCGAUGCUGCAGCAGGAGGAUUCCCAAAGUAGUCCCGCCAUUCCAAACAAGUACUGGCCGAAUAACGGACAAUGCAUACCUUACUCUCUUCACCCGUCGCUUGAUUAUCAACUUAAUAUUGCAAACUACGGGGCUAAAAGUUAUCAACGAUACUGUCAAAAUCCGCUACGCAGCUUACGUUUUCUAGUUCGUUUGUUAAUCGCAUCUUCGAUGGCAGACACGCGUACUGGUGGCGGCGAGUUCUCAAACAUCCGUCCCAGACAGUCGCCAACCAACGCGCCAAGCAGGCAUCCCCGGUAUUUGGAUAGCAGUCUAUUUGGACAAUGUUUCGCGGCGAUCAUAUUUCUGGCGGCUGCUGCAGUGGUCCCUGUCGUCAAUAUCUGACUAAGUGAAGCACCCAUUUUCUAAUAUACGGUGUUAACUUUGCAUCUCAUAACCAAAUAAGUACUGCAACAAUAUCCAGCAGCCGUACGGUACGGUAAGGUACCAGUAAAAGUGACUGAAACGUGAUAUCGUAUCGUACCUACCCGAGCAUACGUUGUACAAGUAUAAGCACAGAACAAGCAUGCUUGAACUGUCUGUUGCGGUGUUACCUGAGGCAAAAUUUGGAACGCGCUUUGGGCUUUGAAACGCUAGGACCAAACGGACCGGAAGCUUCCCGUCUGCUGACGGAAGUGGGUAGAAGGGUACGGCAUGAAACUGGCGAGGCAAGAGCACCGGAAUACCUGCGCCAGCGUAUCAGCAUAGAAAUCCAGCGCGGGAACGCGGCCUCCGUCCAGGGAACAGCUCCACCGGGAGCAAAUUUAGAUCAGUUGUUCUCUGUUCUUAGACCUCCCGAGGCUGUUUUCUGCUGAUUGAGUGUAUUGCGUUGUGAUGUUAACUGUUGUGUAUAAGCUAAAUGUACAAGGAUUACAAUUUGGAAUAGAUUCGCAUUAUUUUUUUGCGGU